Poeciliopsis prolifica (blackstripe livebearer) is the source of this 4476-nucleotide long non-coding RNA. RefSeq lists it as uncharacterized. The transcript is spliced from 3 exons. NCBI's taxonomy places the organism in Eukaryota, Metazoa, Chordata, Actinopteri, Cyprinodontiformes, Poeciliidae. The record is from RefSeq and is a predicted model, not a curated record.
CCAGCUGAGCUGUAUCUGCAGUCGAGCGGUGGGGGGAAAAAAAAACCCCAGCAACUUUAUGGAGACGUGCUCCUCCUGCAAACCUGCCAGCCUCAUCUGUCAGCCAUUAGUUAAUCAGGGCUGGUGACUAGAAAAAACUGGAGAGAGAACGGGCGAGGCCCCUGGGACUGGAGGACAGCUUCAACCUCCCGAGAGCGCAACGAGGGCAAGGGACCUGGGACCUGAAGACCCACAGCUGGCUCUACAGAAAUGGUAGCUGGAAAACCCCAACUGAACCUCACCCACUGCAUAACUCGCAACAGGAAGGUUCUGAAGGACCGGAGUCCAAACGACCCAUGCGGUGUGAUGGCGGUGGGAGAAGAGGAAUUUUAAAAGCCGUGGAUCAGUUCUGAUCUGCAGAAAAACAACCCGUAGUAACAUCAUGCUAUCUUUCACACAGCUGUGAUGUGCAAAGCCGUUCUCCUAAUUAUGAAUGCAGAUGAUGACAUGAAAUAAUGACUUCCCCGUUUCUUUCUGUUUGCAGACUGUUAAUUGUAAGUAUAGCAAACUUCAGACGGGUUGACGCUAAACAGCCGACUCUGGACCCGGUGCUUGUAAGUACAAAUCUGUCAGCUACAAAUAGACAGAACAACACAUUUUUUCCUAUUUUCUUCUCUGAAAAGUAAAAUCCAGGUUUAGGCAAUUGUGUAAAAAGGUAUAGUUCACAAUUAAUAAAGGUUUGCAUUAGUUUCCUAUAGUUUAAAGUGAUUUCAAUGAGAUGCCCAAUAAAUUUGCAUGUCUAGUAUUUUCUCUGGUUUACAUGUAUGCCUCUUACACUUUACUGUACAAAAUAAAAAGCAGCAUAAAGUUAUGUAUUAUGCACAAUAAGCAUUUUAAAACCACAAUUUAUUUCAAAUUGAACAGUGAACAAAUAGGAGUUAUUCAUUUGUUAUCCCAAAACAUUAUUUAAAAAAAAAUAAAUAAAUGCUAUUAUUUUUAGUAGCAGUAGAGGUAUUUGUAUUUUUUUUAAAUAAAAAAAAUUGUUAAAAUAAAACAUAGUUUGUUUUAAAUCUUGGUGUGAAAACUGUGACAUAUUUGGUAUUUUUAUUAAAGAUUUCACCGUUAUCGUGAGAGAAUCUUAUAUAGUCAUAUGCAUAGACAUGUUUAACUUUUUGUAAACAAACACAACAUAAAAUAUAGUCGCAAAAAUGUUGAUUAACCGAGGAAAUAACAAAAGAAAUCCACAGUGAAGACCAGAUAUAAGAUUUUCGAGUAAAUCUCUGACAGUGUUCCCAAGUCUUCCAGCUCAAUGUCGCGUAGCUACAUUUCUAAUCUACAUGGCAGGCAGAAAAAGAUCUUGAGCUUGAAUUUCAGGUGUAAAUCUUAAAGAGUCAUCGAAACACAUUGUUUAAUUUUGUUUUUGUGUGAUAAUCCAACUCUUCACGCCUUUGUUUCCUCCUUAAAACCAAGACUCAUUAUUCCACAAUGUCUAAUAAUUGUUUUCUUUGUCCCUUUUUAGCCCCUGUGAGAGAAGAAAACAUACCACAUAGGUCAGUGAUUUGACAAAUAAUAGCUUAUAAAAUGUAUUUUAGUCUACUGAAAGAAUAUGAACACACUGAAUGAGGCAAUGUUUGACACACGUCCUUGACCCAGCAGUCUGAUGACGCUGAAACUGAGAGGUAGCUGACUGACACGGACAACACAACACAUAAAAGUCAAACAGUGUGGCGCAAGUAUAGUCAAACUUCUAAUAGAAAACAUGCUGACAUUAUAGAAGAGCUUUCACAUCGUCAGUUUUAGGACUAUUACAUCCCUGUUUGCUGACAGGAAGUUCAACACUCAAUCUAUCAUUGUCUAACCCAUUAGGAAGGAUAUCAGCUGCAUCUCAUUUUACUUCAUCAGUGGUGUUGAAAGGUCCAAAGAGCAUGAGGCCCCAUCGAAACCAAGCCUGUAGUGUUAUACACACGGCACAGAGAUGAUCCAGUAUUUGUAGAUAUAAAAGCUUUGACUUCAUUACUUCAUUGAAGCUGAAGCUGGGGGAAAGUAUUCAUUAAUCAGAAUACUUGCAGUCUGUGCCCGAAUUCUUUCCUAAGGUGUUCUGUCAGUCCAACUCAGUCCCACUGAAACAGGAAGGGAGAAUCCCAAAUUGUUCCCACAUAAUAGUGAGUAUUAAAUGGUCAAAAUAUCUUUUAUACUGCAUUGUCAGAAGUUCUUAAAAUAAAAACAACCCCUCAGCAUGAUCAUUCUUCAAUCAAGUUCACACUUGACAAUGCAGUCGGGUGAAUGCUGUUCUUCACCACAUUCAGACUCAUUCACUGGAUUACCAGGCAGGCAGACUUCAUUCGUCAGUCCAGAGAAAAUCUCUAUUGCUCUAGAGUUCAGUGGUUCCACUAUAUAGUGGCACUUGGCGUUACAAGGCUAUCAUUUGAAAUUCUCAACCAUGGAAACCCAGUCUAUGUGAUUAGUACCCACCAUUCUGGAGAUAAUCUGAACAGCUGUUGGCUUUGCUACUUUACUUAGUUUAUUACUAAGUGGCUGUCAACUGUUUAGUAGUGCAGAACUUUUACAAACGGAGUUAUUGUCCAUGUAGCAUCCUACCUAGCUCAUUUUGACUUGUUGGACCCUUAAGAAUGCCCCAUUCUUACACAAAUGUUUGGAAAAGCAUUGAGAUGCUGGAUUUUACACAUGCAGUCAUGGAAGGGACUGGAAAAUCUUAAAUGAUUUAGAGGGGGUGACUCAGUAUUUCAGACAAAAUUGUACAUGUAUGAUGCAGAUAUAAACAAACAAUUCCAAUUGGCUUAAAGUGACAUUCCAAUAGGGUUGGAGCAAAGCAGAUGCUUUCUGCCUGUGUCAAGGAAAGGCCAUGCCCUCUGUCAUUCAGUGGACCUGGGAUACCCCAAACUAAACGCUUCCAGAUCUUGGUACCCCGUCUCUUCCCCUUUCGUCUCUCUGCAUCUGUUCCUGAUCACUCUCGAAAAAACAUUUACUCCUCUGCAUGCUAUAGGCUCCUCCCUUCGUUCCUAAUUUCUCCUAGCGUUAUGUUCAGGGACUGACCGUUAACACACAGAGCUAUUAAAAAAAUAUGUGGCGUCUUACACAGUGUUGCCAAAAUCUUUUGCAAAUAAAAAAUGUAAAGAGUGGUAAGCCAUCCCAAACCAAUACUUUUUAAAAAUAAUCUUUUGCUGAAUUUACAGCUGCACGGUAACAGAUGUUUUUUGUUUUUUGCAAGAUAGCUCAAGCUCAGUCAGAUCAGAUGGAGAGCUUACUUUCCAAGUGUUACCAGGAAUUUUCCAUUUUGAUUUACAUGUGGACUUUGACUGGGCCAUUCCAGCUUAUGUAUUUGAUCUGGUGAAAGGUCAGCCAAAGCCCCAGUCUUACACUGAAUUUUUAUCCAAUCUCUGAUAACUUUCUUACCAGUGUUGGCCUGUAUUUUCUUUAAUCUUUCCAUUACGUCCGACCAGUUUCCUUUCACCUAAUUAUCAAAAACAACCACAAAGCAUAAUGCUGGUACUAACAUGUUUAAUCACAAAUGAUGAUAUUUAGGAUAUUAUUUUUGGAAAAAACAUUUCUAUUUUGUGUGGCUUUGUAAAAGGUAUGUAUGUUUUUUUUUUGUUGUUGUUUUUUUGCCUACUGUCCUUAACGUUUAUUUCCAGUCCUGACCUAAAGCAGCCUGAAGUGCAGAUACCUUUUAGAUUUGGUAUUCUGAUUAUGUACAGACACGUCAGGAGCUUCAUCUUUUUCCCCCCAAAACAAAAAAAACUCUAUUUCAUAUAAUGUGUCGAAACAAGCCUGUAAUUCAUUCAGACUGCAAGAGAGUGAGUAAGUGAGAGAGAGCAAGACUUCAAUUGGUAACCCUGUCCUCAGAUUUUCAGUUUUUAACCUCUGUCUGUGUAGAAACAUGCAGAAUUGGGAAAUGCUGACCUGGUUUUCUGCCUCCAAGGUUUGUCAAGGUUAGCAGUAAUCUUUUAGCCAAACUACCGCUUUCCUUUCGCCCAAAGGGGCCACAGCGUCAUUUGGUCUCCCAAUGCAUAUUCAAGUGAAGGCUGUGACGAGAACCUGGCGCUUGCUUUCAUCUACUAAUUUGGUUGCUCAAGCCCGACUGACAGGAAACGCCAGACCCAUGAUGUCACAAACAACUGACCCCAGGUGACAGGUUUGAGGAGUGUUCAUGCUCAUUGCUCUUAGGCUGGAGCAAGGAAUGUCAAUGUGUACAUGUGGUUUUGAUUUGAAGUGCUGUGAUUAGCUUGCAGACGCUCUGCUGCCACGCCUCCGUCCCAUGGAAAGCAUAUAUUUAACAGGAAGUGGCAUGUUUUUGCUUAUAAGAAGGAAUAAAUAACUUAAGCGGUGCCUGUUAAUAGUACAAUGAACCAGAAUUUCAGUGAACAUGGCUUUUCUUAAGGCAAAUAGCAUUAGGAAAAUAUUUUAUCACCAAAUCUGACAAAUUAAUUAAAAAUUUGUUUUUUGUGAAAUGUCUGCAAUAAAUCUGAUUAUUCCUUG